GUGCUCACUUCAGCAGCAACUACACUAAAAGUGGAAUGAUACAAAGAAUAUCAGCAUGACCCCUGCAGAAGGAUGACAUGCAAAUAUGUAAAGCAGUCCAUAUUUUU
Small nuclear RNA from Echinops telfairi (small Madagascar hedgehog), 107 nucleotides. The record is from Ensembl. Lineage: Eukaryota; Metazoa; Chordata; Mammalia; Afrosoricida; Tenrecidae.